GGAAAAAACCACCCCGACCCGACCUCCACGGCUCCACCAGACCACCUUCACCCCGAUCCCCUGAUCCCAUCACCGCCCGGACAACCCCGCUGCCCCGCGACCUGCCGGGACUCCCCGCCACUGCCCGGCCUCCCGGAAUCCCCGCCGCUGCGCGACCUCCCUAGCCCCCGCCUCUGCUCCCCGACCCGACCUAGCUACUGCGGCCGCACCCCACCUCCGCCAGGAUCUCUCCUCCGCCACAACCACGCCAGCGAGCACCGCCCCUCUUCUCAUCCAUUUUAGCCAGGACCUCGCCUCGCCAGGACAACAACCCAGCCAUCCCCGCACGUCAAUGGGCCGCUGCCCCACUCCUCCAUCUCCCCGGUGAUGCUGCUGGGCGGAGGCUCCCCCACCGCGCAGCCUCCUACAGGUGCAGCUUCACUGCCGCACCACGGUGUUAAUCGGCGCCUCCUCUAGCCGUUCAGGCUACAACAGUUUUCUCCCUGAACACUUCUGGGGACCAAAAAAGGUGUGGUCGUGUAGCGGCCGCCGGCGAGGAUCAAUGGCACUGUAUGAUGCACUUCAAAGUGUUCGUGUUAAUGCCUCAAUGAAAAAUGAGUCGUGUAGUUUUGUAUUUCAGUGCGAGCACACUCAAAUCCUUGAAACUGCCCACGCCCAACUGAUUUGUCUUCGUGUUCGGCCUACAUAAGCUAUUUUUAUUUGUGUCUAAAGCAGAACUCAGGAAGUCAAUAUGCCACGUACGACGGCUAUGCGUCGUUCGCGGUGAAGUUCUACUA
Molecule: long non-coding RNA, 776 nt
Organism: Triticum dicoccoides
Lineage: Eukaryota; Viridiplantae; Streptophyta; Magnoliopsida; Poales; Poaceae
Exons: 2
Source: RefSeq, a predicted model, not a curated record